UGGGGCUGCCGAAAAAUCACGCUUUUGCCUCCUGAAGAUAGUGGCUAUUCAGGCAGGAUCCUGAAGUUUGCAAGUCGUGGGGCCAAAAAUCUCUUCAUAGCCCAAAUUCAGGAAGAACUGAGCACAAGUCCCCUACAGUUGGAUGACGAGUCUUUCAGGAACAUGCCGAAAGCAGACUGUCAGAAGUGUGGACUACCAGUUCCGCUUCCACUCCUGACAGAACACAUCAAAACAUGUGAUGUCAUUGAUGAUAUAGUCAUUGAAGAGAGGGAAACAGAUAUGCAGGAAUGUCCUGUGUGCACACAAAUCUUCCCAACAGAUUUUAUUGAGGCACACGCUUCGGCCUGUGGGGAGAGGUAUCCAUUUACUUGUUUGUCCUUUUUCUCUCACCAACAAUUGUCUUACUCUUUGUGCAAGUGUGACACAAAAUAUUUGUAUGUGGCUAGUGCUAGUGCAGGGAAUGAGAUGCAUGCAAGUACGAUCAGUGAGGAAGAAGCAGCAAUACCUGGAACAUCCGGAGGAGAUAGAGAUAGAGAUGGAGGCUGGUUCACCAUUGCUGACCCCGCCAAGGCCAUAGCGCAGUGUGUGGAGAAUCAUCUCAGCCUUCACAAGGAGGAGAAUCCAUUGCAGCUAACCAUGGACAUAAGAAGUAGUCCUACCGAACAGGACAUGGCCCUGAUCUCCUUUAACAAGCCGCCAAAUGUGGAAUGGGGACGACCCCUGAACUGCAGACUUGAAGGAGAUACUGCUAUUGGCCAGGGUGUGACUCGCUUUUUUUUGUCCUCCUGCAUUGAAAAGCUGAAGUCUGGAUUUUCCAUAAAUUUUGCAAAUGCCGAUGUAACACGGCUUUUUGAUGGCGAGCCUGGCCAUUUGGUCCCAUCAGCCUCUCAUUUUCUUGUCGAAAGUGACUUGUUCAUGGUGGCGGGGAGAAUGCUAGGCCACUCUUUCCUUCACGGAGGACCGUCCUUGUCUGGACUCAGCCCUGCUGUUGUUCAUGUACUGCUUGGUGGGAGUCCUGAAACGGCAACUCUAACUUUGGAGGAUUGUCCAGACCUGGACAUCAGAGAAAUAAUAAGGCUUCUCGGAGGAGAAUCCACACUAUCGGAGAAGGAUGCAGCAAGUGUCCAGGAAUUGGCCUACGCCUGGGACCUUCCAUCCAUAACUGAGACCAAAGGAGAUGGAUUUUUGAGAAGUUAUUGAUCCAUGCUGUUAUCGGCCGUGUCACAAGACAAAUAAAACAGCUCAGGCGAGGUCUCAAAGAAACCCCAAUGUGGACAGUACUGACCCAACGACCUGACACAGUGGACAGGCUUCUCCCAAAAGAGGGAUCUGGGAAUAUAAACCCUGAGGUACCUUUUUAUUAGUGAUGUUUUAUCAAAGACCUACAAAAGAGCACAAAAGUGAUAUGCAAUACAAUUAUGAUAAAGAAUUGCAAGGUUCCCACAGUCAUGAAAUUCAUGACUGUUCAUGUCAUGCCAUACAAUUAGAAAAACUAUUCUCAAGGCCUUGAAAUGUUGUGGAAUUAAAUGAAUGUUGAGGAGAAAGGUUAUUAUUAACACUGUUUUUGUCUGUUUGUCCUCAUCUUCUCAUCCUCCGGGAGUAAGUCUUAUAAUAUUGCACUUUAAUGGAUAUAUAGAGCUUCCUAUUAAAAACUAUUCAUAUCAAGUAAUUGAAAUGGUGUAUAAUAUUUUUUAAAUUUCAUGAACAACUUUUGAACAUUCAUUGAUAAAAUUGUGUCGUAACCCUGGAUUUUUCAAUUAAGGUACUUCUUCAGCGAAUCACUUGGCCCCGUGAGGACGACGAAGACGCAGAUUAUUCAGUCGCCACGAUAUGCUGCAUUACAGGCUAUCUUCGACAGUUCAUUGCUCAUGGUAGGUUUACACAAUGCAUUUGAAAGUAGGCUACUAUUAAAAUUUUAUUUGGCUACAUAAAUGUUUAGUAUUUACUUCACAUUUAGGUGAAUUGUUUUUCAUUGUAAUGUUGUUGUUUUGAGCUCAUUUAGAUAUUUUUGGUGAAUUUCAUUGUUUAAUCUCCUCCAUAGCUACACCAACCGAAUUGACUGAUCUGGUCAAAUUUUGGACUGGAUGGGAGAUCCUUCCAAGGAGCCUCUCAGUCGAAGUAGUCACUGGCAGAUACCCCACAGCGUCCACCUGCUUUGAGGCCUUGCGGGUCCCAGGGCAUUACAAAGAUUAUACAUCUUUCAGAACUGAUGUUCUCGCCAGCAUUUCAUCGUGCCAAACAGGAUUUGGUCUGGUGUGACCAAAGACUUUCACAGAUUCUUGGGACGAACAGAGAAACUAGCUGCUGUUUCAUUUGGGUUGGAGCCAACACACAUCUAAUCAGGCUGAAGGAAUAUUGCAUUCUGACAAAAGAACACACACUCUUAAACACACACACACGGCACUCACAAACAAACACACACACACACACACAUACACACACAAAAACAAACACGUACACACAAACUCAUGCAAACACACAAACACACACACACACACACACACACUCUAGAUUUCUAGAUAUUAUUCGAUUUUGGAUGUUACAUUAUCCACCAGUUAUGCUUUUUUGAGUUUUGUUUUAACAUUUCAGAUAGUUACGUUUCACUGAGUGUUGAGCCCUAUGUUACUGUCAAACGGAUCAGUCAAAACUGUCAGUUUGACUCCGUUUGAAGCAUAACAUCUAUAAAUAAAUGGUUGAUAUCAUUUUUUUGCUUUAUAAUUAUUACUUUUCCUAAUUUAAUGACCACUGGCAAACACAAAAAGUGCAAUAGUUCUUCCUCUGUUAUAUCCAGUAUUACUACACAGCCUAGGCUCUGUAAACUGGUAUGUAAACAGGCCCACCGUAGCUAGCAACAUGCCUGUUUACUAGGGCUGUAACGAUACACCAACUCACGAUUCGGUUUGUAUCACGAUUUUUGACCCACGGUUCGAUACAGCCCACGAUCUUUUUUAAAUUAAAAAGCAUUUUAUUUAAACAACACUUAUAUAACAAUUAACUUAAUGUAACAUUUAAUAACAAAUCAUUUGGAACACUGAACAGAUUCGAACAGAAAGAAUACUAUUAAAGUAUAGCUAAAUUAAUUAAUAAAUGACCAAAGAUUGCAGUUGGAGGAUGCUUGCACAGAUUCGAACAGAAAGAAUACUAUUAAAGUAUAGCUAAAUUAAUUAAUAAAUAACCAAAGAUUGCAGUUGGAGGAUGCUUGCAGGUAGGCAAAAACCCUCAACUAGUUUGGUUGUUUAGUCAAAUAUCCUAUAAGCGCUUCUUAUUAGGCUAUGUAGCUAAAAUAACGACAUAAUCAGGCCGUAUAGAAUGCAACAUGUUUAAUAGCCUAACUUUCAAUAGAUGCGAAAAAACAUGAACGUCAUGAACGUCGCGAGGCAUAGCGUUACGAGUAGCCUAUGUUUGUGCGCGAGAAUGGCAGUGUGCGCAUGUUUGUGUGUGAGUGACGUCAGCGAGUGAGUGGACGAGCGAGGAGAGCGAGCGGUAGCGUGUGUGUCUAGUGAAGAAGCGAACGAGUCCGGUAGAAUAAAGUACCCAUCCUGUCAAUAAUCGGUGGCCGCUUCAUUCCGACCUAUAAGCAGACCAACUGCCGGUCAAAUCACACAAAACAAUAGAGACAGCGAUCACACAGGCAAUUUUUUUCGUGCUUGGCCCACUCUGGAUAAAUGUCGUUCAUAUCGCAUAUGAGGACUUCGACGGCUGUGGAGAAGUACAAUCCUCCGUAGCCACCGAGAGCUGUCAUCACAGAGAGGGCAUCUCGUCGCAUACUUACGGCAUCGAUAGGAGGGGGCGGUGUCAGCAGACUAUUAUUUUGACAAAUUAUUAGCAAAUUUCAAUCGGACAAUUUGACCGGAGAGUUAGAAAGGGCGUAUCGCGCUUCUGCCUUCUCACACCGAGACAGGUUCGUGGCUGUUUACUACUGUUUACAGAGGCUGUGUAGUAAAUCUGGAUUUUUUUUAUUCAGGGAACACAAAGUAUGUACAGUUUCUCCUAAAUCAGUGUUCACAUCAAAGCUUUGACAACAUCCAUUAGGUUUUACACAAUUUGGCUUUAAAAAAAGAGUGAACGUAAACUGUUAAAUGUUUCAACAGCCCUCAUCUAUAAAUUAGAGGGGAAAAAGCAAGCCAGUUUAAAAUUGUGUUAAGUGUUAACAAAAGUGUAAAACUCAAAAUAUUUACAUUUCUUUUUCACCUUUUAUAAAUGUUAUUUGAUUUGCAUGGCAAGUUAUCACAACUGUUGAAAUGAGGUAAGUCAAGAAGGCCAUGGGAGAUGGUUUGAAAUGUUGUUUUUUUCCCGCUCCACAUCAAGAUCAUUCCAGUCCAGAUGUAAUGACGACCUUCGUCUUUUGGAGCCCGCUAACAAAACCAACGGGCCUCAUUAAUGUGGGCAGUCCAGCGAUAAACGAUUUGCUCCGAUACAAAAAAAUGACAGUUACAUGACAGACAUGGCCUAUUUAAGCCAGGGUGAGUGGGUUUAUGUCUCUAUGCAAAUCUCAAUUCAGUUCUUUCACAGGGAAAGAAAUUGUUCACAAAAC
RNAcentral lists this long non-coding RNA (4534 nucleotides) under Gadus morhua (Atlantic cod). RNAcentral's name for it is "lncRNA (ENSGMOG00000022572.1)". The record is from RNAcentral. Lineage: Eukaryota; Metazoa; Chordata; Actinopteri; Gadiformes; Gadidae.